GUAGGGCGCAAGCGUUAUCCGGAAUUAUUGGGCGUAAAGAGCUCGUAGGCGGUUUGUCGCGUCUGCUGUGAAAUCCCGAGGCUCAACCUCGGGCCUGCAGUGGGUACGGGCAGACUAGAGUGCGGUAGGGGAGAUUGGAAUUCCUGGUGUAGCGGUGGAAUGCGCAGAUAUCAGGAGGAACACCGAUGGCGAAGGCAGAUCUCUGGGCCGUAACUGACGCUGAGGAGCGAAAGGGUGGGGAGCAAACAGGCUUAGAUACCCUGGUAGUCCACCCCGUAAACGUUGGGAACUAGUUGUGGGGUCCUUUCCACGGAUUCCGUGACGCAGCUAACGCAUUAAGUUCCCCGCCUGGGGAGUACGGCCGCAAGGCUAAA
RNAcentral lists this ribosomal RNA (374 nucleotides) under uncultured bacterium. RNAcentral's name for it is "bacterial SSU rRNA". It matches the Rfam family "Bacterial small subunit ribosomal RNA", at positions 527 to 898 of the family's 1533-position model. The record is from RNAcentral.